AUCUAGCUGACCAGUCUGAAAUAGGACGAAACGCGAGUCCUACAU
RNAcentral lists this non-coding RNA (45 nucleotides) under Schistosoma curassoni. The record is from RNAcentral. Lineage: Eukaryota; Metazoa; Platyhelminthes; Trematoda; Strigeidida; Schistosomatidae.